This is a long non-coding RNA of Dermochelys coriacea (leatherback sea turtle), 240 nucleotides long. RefSeq lists it as uncharacterized. The record is from RefSeq and is a predicted model, not a curated record. The transcript is spliced from 2 exons. Lineage: Eukaryota; Metazoa; Chordata; Testudines; Dermochelyidae.
CUACCCAGACCCUGACUGAGAUCAGGUCCCCCCUUGUGCCAAGCACUGCACAGACCCCGACCGAGAUCAGGGCCCCCCUUGUGCCAGGUGCUUGCACAGACCGCGACCGAGAUCAGGGCUCCCCUUGUGCCAGGCACCGCACAGACCCUGAACGAGAUCAGGGCUCCCCUUGUGCCAGGCGCCGCACAGACCCCGAACAAGAUCAGGGCCCCCCUUGUGCCAGGUGUGCACAGACCCCGA